Triticum urartu is the source of this 14140-nucleotide non-coding RNA. The record is from RefSeq and is a predicted model, not a curated record. Lineage: Eukaryota; Viridiplantae; Streptophyta; Magnoliopsida; Poales; Poaceae.
AUCCCACCCGUCAUUGAACCAUACCCCCUCUCCCGCUGACGCCCGGACCCGAGCCGGUGUCCACCUCCAUGGCGGAGUCCGGCCCGAGCACCGCCUUCCUGUGUAGCCCCGCGCCGCCUCUCGAUCCCUACAGAAAUGGAGGCGCUCCCGCGCCUCGACCCGAGUUCGCAGCCCUCGAAACCCGUCGAAUCCGAGCUCCAAUUCUUUGCGGUGCCGCCGCCGCCGCCACAGCUCCGGUCGAGCCCAGUCGACGCCAGAGACCACCACUGCCGUCUCCGAGGAGGGCAACGGAACUGCCAAGUCAAGCCGAGCCUCUCGAAUUCGAGACUGAGUACUCGUCGGCGCCGCCACAGCUUCGACAGAGCCCAGCCGACGCCAGAGAACACCACCGACGUCUCCCAGGAGAGAAACGGAACCGCCGACUCAAGGAAAAUCUCUUGGACGCCUUCCCGAGGAGCAAGGAUCACCGGAGCCAGCUCAGCGACAAGCCCCAAAGCCGCCGGCGCCGCCUGAACGCAUCUGAACCAAUAGAUCAAAACAUUCCACAUAUAUGUCGUUGAGAAAGUUGCACAGCAUCUUGGUAUGGAUGAUCCCUUCAAAACUUCGCCUUACAAAGCACAUACAGCAUUUACAGCAACCAGAUGUCUGACAUUUUAUAUUAUGAGACACUGACAUUCCUUUGCCAGAACUGCAAGGUCUGAUAACAUUGAGUUGCUUUUCACCAAGCUACACACAAUGAGGUGCUGUUUCAUGUUAUAUGAUUGCCAAAAAGCAGUACGUUUUCUGAUUUGAUUGACAACUUAAAAUCAAAGGUUGAGCUAUCUCAAAGUGAUGCUGGACUUAGCUAUUUCAGGUCAACAAUAACAAGAUAUGGAAGGUGUACCAGCCAACUGAGAAAAUAGAUGCAGUUCAUGAUCCAAACCUCUUCAUGUUGAGGAGGUAUGCAAAAUUAACACAAAUACUGUUUACAGUCUCCUAGAAGCUUUAAAGGCUUAACCUCGGGCCAUUUACUCCUAUUACAAAUCCAUUCCUUAUUUUCUUGCUUGGUUUGAUAACAGAGUGACAUGGUCCAUGUCCAUCUCAUGCAUUAUAAGCACUUCAUGUAAUUACCCAUUCCCCGAAUACGCUAGUCCUCGUCUCCUUUCCCGUAUUUCUCUUAGUCUCACUCCCAAACACUUCACGAUCCGGCAGAGGGAAUGCCAACAACCAUGGUGGCAUUGUCCCCUUCGGUCGUUCAUGCCACUGGAGAGGAUGAAGGCUCUAGCAACAUCGUGCGAAAGGCAUCGGCGCUAGCGAGUUUGCCACCAUCCUAGCCACGACGAUAAUGCCGCUGAGCAUAUAGUGGAGGGUAGAGUAGGAAAGUGGAGCGACGACGCCGCGGGAGGAGGUGCAUUCGAACGGGGGCACUGCAGUCUGUUUCUUCUUCCGGGCGAGUGGCAGGCAUAAAGACAAGACUUCCAACAAAAUGUAUAAAGCGUUGGAUCAGGCAACGGGUCAACAUCGGUAGCAGGGAGGUGAACAUUAAGCUCCAUGGGAGUCUCAAGAGUGCGCUCAUCAGUAAGAGCAACACGAGCAAGAAGAUCAUGGAUUAUUUUUGAGCAAGGGACCUCAAUCCCAAGAAUUUAGUGAGGAGGGCCAAGAUAAGACAUAACCAAUUGCUAACUAAGAUGUGCCUUCACAAAGGUAAUAUACUCAUGGUCUUCCCCCGGUGAUGAUCAUGUCAUCAACAGAUAGAAGAGUCCUACCAAGAGCAGAAAGGUGGACAAACAACGUAGGAUCAUGAGCACUUGUUGAAAACUAGUGGCAGCCACCAUAGAGGCAAAAUGCUCAAACCAGGCGUGAGGGCUUGCUUAAAGCUAUAGGGAGAGGGAUGAAGAUGACAAAGCAUGUCGUCGGGAGCAGAAUAUCCAGGUGGUUGCUGCAUGUAAACCUCCUCAUGCAGCUCAUCAUUAAGAAAGGCUUUCUUAAUAACAAGACGAGACACAGACCAAUGGAGGCAUUCUUAACAUCAAGCCGAGACAUAGACCAGUGGCGAAUAGAGGCCACAAUAAGAAGUGUGCGACAUUGGUUAGACAAUUUGCGAGAGAAAGUCUCGUCAUAAUCAGGACCAUGCUCUUUCUGAAAGCCACGAGCCACAAGACGAGCUUUGUAAGGCUCAAGGGAACCAUCAGAGUGAGUCUUAACCUUGUAGACCCAAGUGAUGGGACGAACACGAGGAGGAGCAAAAACAAUACCCCACGUGCCGAUGCGCUCAAGAGCAGCAGUCUCCUCUGCCAUCGCAAUAUGCCAUCUGGUAUGAACAACAUCACUAUAAGAAGUCGGCUCAAGAACAACAACGCCAACACUUGGAAGACCACGGUGGUCAACAGGCCAAAGCAGACGAGGACGCAAGCCAUAAGUAGGCUAAGACGGGGAAGAUGGCACAUCAGUAGACACAUCCACAACACGCAGGUGACGUGUAUAUAAGACAUAAGUUAGGAAAAGAUAAAAGAAUACGAGCAAGAAUGAUCGGAAUAAACUCAGGUGAUGGAGGAGCAGUCUCCUCUGCCAUCGCAAUAUGCCAUCUGGUAUGAACAACAUCACUAUAAGAAGCCAGCUCAAGAACAACAACGCCAACACUUGGAAGACCACGGUGGUCAACAGGCCAAAGCAGACGAGGACGCAAGCCAUAAGUAGGCCGAGACGGGGAAGAUGGCACAUCAGUAGACGCAUCCACAACACGCAGGUGACGUGUAUAUAAGACAUAAGUUAGGAAAAGAUAAAAGAAUAUGAGCAGGAGCAAGAAGAUCCUGCAUUAUUAAUUUUGAGCAAGAAGAGACCUAAAACCCAAGAAAGUAGCAAAGAGGGCCAAGAUCGGACAUAUGAAACUCCUUACUAAGACGUGCUGUCACAAAGGCAAUAUACUCAGGGUCUUUGUCGGUGAUGAUCAUAUCAUCAACAUAUAGAAGAAGACUACUACCAAGAGCAAAAAAGUGGACAAACAACGUAGGAUCAGGAGCACUUGUUGAAAACCAGCGGCAACCACCCUACAGGCAAAACACUCAAACUAGGCUUGAGGGGCUUGCUUAAAGCCAUAGAGAGAGCGAUGAAGAUGACGAAGCAUGUCGUCAGGAGCAGAGUGGUGGUUGCAUGUAAUCCGCCUCUUGUAGUUCACCAUUAAGAAAGGCAUUUUUAACAUCAAGCCGAGACAGACCCAUGGUCAACAGAGGCCACAAGAAGUGUGCGAGCAGUGGUCAUAUGGUUUGCACGAGCAAAAAGCCUCAUAGUAAUCAGGACUGUAAUCAGGACCAUGCUCCUGCUGAAAGCUACGAUCCACAAGACAAGCUUUGUAAUGCUCAAGAGAACCAUUAGAGCGAGUCAUAACAUUGUAGACCCACCAAGUGAUGGGACGAACACGAGAAAGAGAAAUAAUAUCCCACUUGACGAUGCGCUCAAGAGCAGCAAUCUCCUCCGCCAUCGCAAUGUGUCACUUGGUAUGAACAACAUCAUGAUAAGAAGUCGGCUCAAGAACAAUAGCGCCAGCGCUUGAAGACCAAGGCGGUCAACAGGUGGAAGCAGAUGAGGAAGCAAGCCAUAAGUAGGCCGAGACAGGGAAGAUGGCACAUCAGUAGACACAUCCACAACAUGCGGACGAUGUGUAUAAAAGUGAGGAAAACAUGAAAGAAUACGUGUUGGAAUCACCGGGAUAAACUAAGGUCAUGGAGACAACAAGGAAGCCACCGGUGAUGAUGUUGUAGAAUCCCGUGAUAAGCUAGGUGAGGAAAUCAUAGGAGAUGAUGGCAUUGGAUCUGCAAUAAUUGGAGAAGCAGGAGCAGUACGACGAAUGGAAUUGGGCCCAACAAGAGUGAUAGGAGUGUCGGGGAAAUUAUGGAAAGACUCCACUGAAAACGUCGAGGAAGAUGGACGAGGCUGAUAGAGUCGAGACUCAUUAGAAGCUAUAUCUUGAGAAAUAGAAGACCUACAUGAUCCCAAUAGUGAUAUCCCUUAUACUCAUCGUUGUAUCCUAAGAAGACACACGAAACGGACUGAGCAGUCAGUUUGGUGCGUUCACGUGGGGCAAGGACAUAGCAAACACAACCAAACAAUUGAAGCGCCGAAUAAUCGGGAAACGAUCGAAUAGAUGCUCGAAAGUAUGCUCGAAAGUAGUGCCACCCUGCAGAGGACUUGCUGAAGGUUGAUGAGAUAGAUGGAAGUGGAGACAGACUCAGCCCAAAAGUGCGAGGGAAUAUAGGCAGUGACCAUCAACGGACGAGCCGUCUCAAGAAGGUGACAAUGCUUGCGCUCGGCCACGCCAUUCUGAGCAUGUGCGCAAGGAUAAGAGAACCGAAUGCAAGAGUACCCUGCUCAGCAAGGAUUCCACGCAACAGCUUGGGAGAUAUACUCCCCGCCAGAGUCAUCACAAAACACACAAAUAGUCGUAUAGAAUUGAGUUUGAACCAUGACAGCAAAACCCUUAUAGAUAAGAUCUCCCUACGAGAAGAAAUAAAGUAUAUAUCCAAGUGAUGACCUCCUUUGGAGGCAAAGGGAGAUGGACCACCGACAUCGGAGUGGACAAGGUCGAAAGGUGGCUGAGACACUGUCUUGCUAUGAGUAUAAGGUAAUUGGACCUGUUUACCAAGCCGACAACCUUGACGGUUUAGAGACAUCGUCGGAUACGAAUCGAAGAAGACCAUGUCAAACUAAGGAUGAGGGAUCACAAGUGACCCAAGGCGAUGAUGCCACUGCUAAAAAUAAUAAUUGGUAGACAAGGCAACAGAGGUAGAGACUGGCGAUGGUGGAAGCAGAGGGACUUGAUCCAACAUCCCACGUGCCUGUGCACUCUCCGUACCUUGCUGAUCCGGAUUGGUGUUCUUCUCUUGUUUGCGGGUUGUGGGACACGCACUUAAUUAAGCACCCCAGGUUCUCCUACUGUGUGCGCUUGGCCCCGGCUUUAGGUAGCGCCUGUCGUCGGCUCGUCUCGUUCAUAAUCCAGGUACGCGUCGACUGUCCGAGCUCCUGCUCACCAUUGGUGAUGCUCGAGCGUGCGGUUAUGGUGUCGCACAACCAGGGAACACGGGAUGUGGGAUUGAGACAGAGCCCAUAGCAACCCGCAGCAAGGCAAAGGAUGCCCAUCCAGAAUGACACGGAGAGGAGGUGGACACAAUGGUGGAUGUUGACUUCAUAGGAGUCUCAAGUAAGAGCAGCACGAGCAAGAAGAUCUCAAGGAAGUAGCGAAGAGGAUGAAGAACUAUGACGAAGAAAUAAGAAAUUCACUAUGACAAGCCUUCACAGAGGCAAUGUACUUAGAGUCAUCGCCAGUAAUGAUCGACAUGUAGAAGUGUUCGACCACAAGUUGAAUGGUGGACCGAAAGCGCAGGAAAUAAAGAAGCCAUUAGAGGUAGAAGAAACCUCAAGCUCAAGGAAGUAGCGAAGAGGACGAAGAUCAUACAUAAAAAAUUAACUAUGACGAGCCUUCACAAAGGCAAUGUACUUGAGUCGUCACCAGUGAUGACCGACAUGUAGAAGUGUUCGACCACAAGGAAUGGUGGACGGAAAGUGCAGGAUAAUGAGCACUCGCCAAAAACGAGCCACAAUCACAAUUGAGGGGAGGCGCUCAAACCAGGCACGAGGGGUUUGCUUAGGGCCAUAUGGAGAGUGAUGAAGACAACAAACCAUGCCAUUAGGAAGAGAACCCAGGUGGUGGCUACGUGUAGGCAUUCUUGACAUCAAGAGAGACAAACCAUCGGUGAAUAGAAGCCACAUUGAGAAAUGUGCGAAGAGUGGUCAUGUGGGGCAUAUAGGAGCAAAUGUCAUCGUAGUCAUGACCAUGUUCUCACCACUAGACAAGCUUUGUAACGCUCAAGAGAAUCACCGGUCUUAACCUUGUAGAGCCACUUACAAGUGAUGAGACAAGCACGAGGAGGGAAAUGAGAUUUGACGUGCCGAUGCGGGCAAGAGCAUCAACCUUCGAUGCCAUCACAUGCAGCCAUUCGGGAUGAACAACCUUACGAUAAGAUGGCACAUCAGUAGACACAUCCACAACAUGCGGACGAUGUGUAUAAAAGUGAGGAAAACAUGGAAGAAUACGUGUUGGAAUCACCGGGAUAAACUAAGGUCGUGGAGACAACAAGGAAGCCACCGGUGAUGAUGUUGUAGAAUCCCGUGAUAAGCUAGGUGAGGAAAUCAUAGGAGAUGAUGGCAUUGGAUCUGCAAUAAUCGGAGAAGCAGGAGCAGUACGACGAAUGGAAUUGGGCCCAACAAGAGUGAUAGGAGUGUCGGGGAAAUUAUGGAAAGACUCCACUGAAAACGUCGAGGAAGAUGGACGAGGCUGAUAGAGUCGAGACUCAUUAGAAGCUAUAUCUUGAGAAAUAGAAGACCUACAUGAUCCCAAUAGUGAUAUCCCUUAUACUCAUCGUUGUAUCCUAAGAAGACACACGAAACGGACUGAGCAGUCAGUUUGGUGCGUUCACGUGGGGCAAGGACAUAGCAAACACAACCAAACAAUUGAAGCGCCGAAUAAUCGGGAAACGAUCGAAUAGAUGCUCGAAAGUAUGCUCGAAAGUAGUGCCACCCUGCAGAGGACUUGCUGAAGGUUGAUGAGAUAGAUGGAAGUGGAGACAGACUCAGCCCAAAAGUGCGAGGGAAUAUAGGCAGUGACCAUCAACGGACGAGCCGUCUCAAGAAGGUGACAAUGCUUGCGCUCGGCCACGCCAUUCUGAGCAUGUGCGCAAGGAUAAGAGAACCGAAUGCAAGAGUACCCUGCUCAGCAAGGAUUCCAUGCAACAGCUUGGGAGAUAUAGUCUCCGCUAGAGUCAUCACAAAACACACGAAUAGUCGUAUAGAAUUGAGUAUGAACCAUGACAGCAAAAACCCUUAUAGAUAAGAUCUCCCUACGAGAAGAAAUAAAGUAUAUAUCCAAGUGAUGACCUCCUUUGGAGGCAAAGGGAUAUGGACCACCGACAUCGGAGUGAACAAGGUCGAAAGGUGGCUGAGACACUGUCUUGCUAUGAGUAUAAGGUAAUUGGACCUGUUUACCAAGCCGACAACCUUGACGGUUUAGAGACAUCGUUGGAUACGAAUCCAAGAAGACCAUGUCAAACUAAGGAUGAGAGAUCACAAGUGACCCAAGGCGAUGAUGCCACUGCUAAAAAUAAUAAUUGGUAGACAAGGCAACAGAGGGACUUGAUCCAGCAUCCCACGUGCCUAUGGACUCUCCGUACCCUGCCGAUCCGGAUUGGUGUUCUUCUCUUGUUUGCGGGUUGUGGGACACGCACUUGAUUAAGCACCCCAGGUUCUUCUGCUGUGUGCGCUUGGCCCCGGCUUUAGGUAGCGCCUGUCGUCGGCUCGUCUCGUUCAUAAUCCAGGUACGCGUCGACUGUCCGAGCUCCUGCUCACCAUUGGUGAUGCUCGAGCGUGCGGUUAUGCUGUCGCACAACCAGGGAACACGGGAUGUGGGAUUGAGACAGAGCCCAUAGCAACCCACAACAAGGCAAAGGAUGCCCAUCUAGAAUGACACGGAGCGGAGGUGGACACAAUGGUGGAUGUUGACUUCAUAGGAGUCUCAAGUAAGAGCAGCACGAGCAAGAAGAUCUCAAGGAAGUAGCGAAGAGGAUGAAGAACUAUGAUGAAGAAAUAAGAAAUUCACUAUGACAAGCCUUCACAGAGGCAAUGUACUUAAGAGUCAUCGCCAGUAUUGAUCGACAUGUAGAAGUGUUCGAGCACAAGUUGAAUGGUGGACCGAAAGUGCAAGAAAUAAAGAAGCCAUUAGAGGUAGAAGAAACCUCAAGCUCAAGGAAGUAGUGAAGAGGACCAAGAUCAUACAUAUGAAAUUAACUAUGAUGAGCCUUCACAAAGGCAAUGUACUUGAGUCGUCACCAGUGAUGAUCGACAUGUAGAAGUGUUCGACCACAAGUUGAAUGGUGGACCGAAAGUGCAGGAUCAUGAGCACUCGCCAAAGACCAGCCACAAUCACAAUUGAGGGGAAGUGCUCAAACCAGGCACGAGGUGUUUGCUUAGGUCCAUAUGGAGAGUGAUGAAGACAACAAACCACUCCAUCAGGAAGAGAACCCAGGUGGUGGCCAUUCUUGACAUCAAGAGAGACAAACCAUCGACGGAUAGAAGCCACAUUGUGAAGUGUGUGAAGAGUGGUCAUGUGGGGCAUAUAGGAGCAAAUGUCUCAUCGUAGUCAUGGCCAUGUUCUCACCACUAGACAAGCUUUGUAACGCUCAAGAGAAACACCGGUCUUAACCUUGUAGACCCACUUACAAGUGAUGAGACGGGCACGAGGAAGGAAAUUCACGUGUCGAUGCGGGCAAGAGCAUUAAGCUUCGAUGCCAUCACAUGCAGCCAUUCGGGAUGAACAACCUUACGAUAAGAUGGCACAUCAGUAGACACAUCCACAACAUGCGGAUGAUGUGUAUAAAAGUGAGGAAAAAAUGGAAGAAUACGUGCUGGAAUCAUCGGGGUAAACUAAGGUCACGGAGACAACAAGGAAGCCACCGGUGAUGAUGUUGUAGAAUCCCGUGAUAAGCGAGGUGAGGAAAUCAUAGGAGAUGAUGGCAUUGGAUCUGCAAUAAUCGGAGAAGCAGGAGCAGUACGACGAAUGGAUUUGGGCCCAACAGGAGUGAUAGGAGUGUCGGGAAAAUUAUGGAAAGACUCCACUUAAAAAGUCGAGGAAGAUGGACGAGGCUGAUAGGGUCGAGACUCAUUAGAAGUUAUAUCCUGAGAAAUAGACGACCUACAUGAUCCCAAUAGCGAUAUCCCUUAUGCUCAUCGUUGUAUCCUAAAAAGACACACGCAACGGACUGAGCAGUCAGUUUGGUGCGCUCACAUGGGGCAAGGACAUAGCAAACACAACCAAACAAUUGAAGCGCCGAAUAAUCGGGAAACGAUCGAAUAGAUGCCCGAAAGUAGUGCCACCUUGCAGAGGACUUGCUGAAGGUUGAUGAGAUAGAUGGAAGUGGAGACAGACUCAGCCCAAAAGUGCGAGGGAAUAUAGGCAGUGACCAUCAACGGACGAGCCGUCUCAAGAAGUUGACGAUGCUUGUGCUCGGUCACGCCAUUCUGAGCAUGUGCGCAAGGAUAAGAGAAACGAAUGCAAGAGUACCCUGCUCAGCAAGGAUUCCACGCAACAGCUUGGGAGAUAUACUCUCCACCAGAGUCAUCACAGAACACACGAAUAGGCGUAUAGAAUUGAGUAUGAACCAUGACUGCAAAACCCUUAUAGAUAAGAUCUCACUACGAGAAGAAAUAAAGUAUAUAUCCAAGUGAUGGCCUCCUUUGGAGGCAAAGGGAGAUGGACGACCGACAUCAGAGUGAACAAGGUUGAAAGGUGGCUGAGACACUGUCUUGCUAUGAGUAUAAGGUAAUUGGACCCGUUUACCAAGCCGACAAGCUUGACAGUUUAGAGACAUCGUCGGAUACGAAUCCAAGAAGACCACGUCAAACUAAGGAUGAGAGAUCACAAGUGACCCAAGGUGAUGAUGCCACUGCUAAAAAUAAUAAUUGGUAGACAAGGCAACAGAGGCAGAGACUGGCGACGGUGGCAGCAGAGGGACUUGAUCCAGCAUCCCACGUGCCUGUGCACUCUCCGUACCCUGCCGAUCCGGAUUGGUGUUCUUCUCCUGUUUGCGGGUUGUGGGACACGCACUUGAUUAAGCACCCCAGGUUCUCCUACUGUGUGCCUUGGCCCCGGCUUUAGGUAGUGCCUGUCGUUGGCUCGUCCCGUGCAUAAUCCAGGUACGCGUCGACUGUCUGAGCUCCUGCUCACCAUUGGUGGUGCUUGAGCGUGUUGUUAUGGUGUCGCACAACAAGGGAACACGGGAUGUGGGAUUGGGACAGAACCCAGAGCAAUCCGCAGCAAGGCAAUGGAUGCCCAUCCAGACUGACACGGAGAGGAGGUGGACACAAAGGUGGAUGUUGACUUCAUAGGAGUCUCAAUAGUGCGCUCAUCAGUAAGAGCAGCACAAGCAAGAAGAUCUCAAGGAAGUAGCGAAGAGGAGCAAGAUCAUACAUAAGAAACUCAUUCUAACGAGCCUUCACAAAGGCAAUGUACUUCAUCGCCAGUCAUGAUCGACAUGUAGAAGUGUUCGACCACAUGUUGAAUGGUGGACCGAAAGUGCAGGAAAUAAAGAAGCCAUUAGAGGUAGAAGAAACCUCAAUCUCAAGGAAGUAGCGAAGAGGACCAACAUCAUACAUAAUAAAUUCACUCUAAUGAGCCUUCACAAAGACAAUUUACUUCACCGCCACUGAUGAUCGACAUGUAGAAGUGUUCGACCACAAGUUGAAUGGUGGAUCGAAAGUGCAGGAAAUAAAGAAGCCAUUAGAGGUAGAAGAAACCUCAAUCUCAAGGAAGUGGCGAAGAGGACUAAGAUCAUACACAAGAAAUUCACUAUGACGAGCCUUCACAAAGGCAAUGUACUUAGAGUCGUCGCCAGUGAUGAUCGAUAUGUAGAAGUUUUCGACCACAAGUUGAAUGGUUGACUAAAAGUGCUGGAUCAUGAGCACUUGCCAAAAACCAGCCGCAAUCACCACUGAGGCGAAGCGCGCAAACUAGGCACAAGGGGUUUGCUUAGAGCCAUAUAGAGAGUGAUGAAGAUGACAAACCAUGUCAUCAACAUUCUAACCUAUAAUGAGGCUCCCCAACUCGGCCUCUCGGUGCUCCCCCAGAUUGAAGCUUUGUUAGCCAUUUGAUAGAGCUACUUUUGGUCAACUGGUUCGUCACGGCCAUCAGAUUGUUCUGCCAGUUUUCACCGCACGGUUAGUUUUCAGUAUUAUGACCGGUGGGCUCGUUCUUUCUCCCUAUUGGCUGGGUGAGCCCUUCGUGGGUGCGAGCAACCCUGUCCUCGCACGCCACACGUCGUGCGGCUCGUCGUGGACGUCUCCGCUGAUGCAUGCAAACCCCAUUUGAACCCUGGCCUCCCACCACAACCACCACAUCCGUUCCUCCCCCUCCACCCCUCGUCCGCCAUCGUCCAUCUCCACCUCCUAUCCCGGCUCCUCUUGUGCCUCUUGUUUUCCUCCUCGCCUCCCCAUUGCUCGCCCCCUUGCGCGGAUUAGACGCAUGUCGCCGCCAUGGGAGACCAGGGCGACAGGGUCUUCACGGCGGGGGUGGAGUAGGGACGGUCAUUAGGCUAGUGGCGGAGGGAUGAAGCAGUGAGGCCUGAGUUCUAGGCGGUGCACACAUUGCGGACUCUAGACUCUUGUGUUGUUGAUUCGGUUUUGGUUCAGAUAGAAGAGCUCUAUGCUUACCAACUUUUGGGAUAGCCAAGGUAUGUGAUUGGUUUCUCCACUUCCACCCUAUGAUUUGCAAUUUCCCCAUAUGAUGCAUUGAUACCAUUUCAUUGUGUGAUUUUUCUGCAGGAAAUAAUCAUCGGGUUUUCAAGUGUAUGCAUCGUGUGUAAGCCCAGUUAGUGCUCCUGGUUUAUGAAUUUAAGAAUACAUUCUCAUCUCCCUGGUAUCUAUAUUCCAUUGUUUUAGAUUUAAAAGUGCUUUAGAUGAAAAAAAUUAGGCAACCUUUCCAUUUCAGGCAUCAUUUCUAAGUAUUAUGGCAUCCACGAAUUUCCCGAUAGUUUGUUCUGCACCAUGCUGCCUCAUGUAGGAUUUUGGCGCUCGUGAUCUACCUUAGGUGACCUGCUCCCAGUCCUUCCCUCCCCUCUGACCUCUCUCCCUCUCUGUAUGAUGUUUGAUUUGUGUUUUGGUUCAAAUUUGACAUGGCUUUCUGAUUGAUGCUUGGUUUAGAAAGGAACAAGUUCUAGAAUUGGUAGAAGUCAUAUGUCAUCCUUUGUAUUUUUUGUCAAGAUGAAUGCUUCAUAACAGGUGUAUGGAGGCACAAAAGUAGACUCAUAUAAACUGCAGUUGCAGUAUCAGCAAUAAGCAAGGGACGUAUCACAUGUUUCUAUCAAAACUGUGUAUAAAUUUAAGAGCUUAGCAAGAGAAUAGUAUCUCUGUUCCGGGAGAAAAAUUUAAGAGCUUAGCAAGAGAAUAGCAUCUCUAUAAAUUUUAGAGCUUAGUUUUUUGCAUAUGCAUGUAACAGCAACUCUUUUUUGUUCUGGUCUUAAAUAUCCUAUUCAUGAUACAGAAAUUUGCAUCAAGCUUACCAUGUUGAAUUUUGGUAAGGGCAAUCCCAUUGUUUAUGCAUCUUCUUUAACAAAGAACGAUAUUUGGUGUAUCAUCUGAGAUGUGCUUGAUUAAUGUCUUUCAGGCAAUGUGUGAUGCCAUUUGCAACCUUCUUGUUGAGCAAGCUGAAACAGGAGUAACUCCAUUAAUCAUUAUGUCACAUUGUAAUCCAUCACAAGAAUCAUCUCUCCUAUUUCAUUCACUGAAUUUCUGUACUGCUGAUGCUUACAUAUAUGUAUAUUUUGCUUCUGCUUGAUGUGUCUCGUGCCUGAUCCGGUAUUGAUGAUCUGUGUGGCUGAAAAAAAAAUACAUUGCCUGUGAAUUUGUCUAAAGAUGCAUUAUGAUAUCCAGCUGUGUUUGCAUGUUGGGUCAUGUUAGUAAUGUGCUUUGAAAUUAUUUCCCCUCGUCUCAGUUUUGUUUUUCUUUAGGCAAUAUUAUGGUAUAAAUAUACGUGUAUUUUUUAGGCAAUAUUAUGGUAGCUGCAGGAGUGGGCGGUACUCAGCUGCCAACAGGCGCUGAUGACGGUGGCCGAGCUAGACCCCGUCAGGGACAGGGCGCGCAUGUAUGUCGAGGCGCUCCAGAGCAGCGCGUGGGGCAGUUGUCUCUGGUCGCUUUAGUUUUGCUUCUGAGCCAUUAUCGAUUUCCCAUUUCUUUCUUCUGCACUAGAAGAUUGACCGUGUUGGAGGCUGUUAAUCACAGCGACGUCCUGAUGGAGUCGUUAGAUUGUCCGAUGACCAAACCAGUUGCCGAGCAAACGUUGUCGCCGAUGCAGGAGCUGAACGCCGAAGGGCAGAUCUGUGAGGCGCAGGGGGCAGCGGCUGCGGAGGGAGGAGGUUCACCAUGGGCAUCCAAGUAGUCGAUUGGCAAGAUGAAUCCUGAACCCCCUGGCUGGACCCAAAGACUUCUUGGAAAGGAAACAGGUUGCAAGUUCAUCUGUAUCACCCAAAUCAAGAGAGGCAAUUAAUGUUUGCAAGAAAAAGAAAAGUUUGCAAGGAAAGAGAAGACAAUGGAACAUCAGGCCAUUUCUGUGAAAGAAUGCAAGUUUAAAGAGAUUAAUGACCUGAAAGCCCAAACGAACCAAGGGUACUCUAAUAUGGCUCGAAGGCUGAAACCAGUGAAGCAGAGCCGUGGCUCGGGGCAUCAACGUCCAUGCCGGUCCAUGGAUCCGGAAACUUGCUUUCCGUGAAUUGCGACAGCAACCGAGUUAAUGCACGGAUGGGGUGCAGGAUACAAUUAUCUCCUACCUCAGGCGCGUGGAUCCUUCCAGGGAGAGCGGUGGCCUCGGCGGACAAACUUUUGUACGAAACAAGAAGUACAACCAUGCUGAAAGAGGUGACUGAGAGCUCCGAUGGAGCCUCUGCACUACCCAGUCGUCGCACUGGUUAUGGAACAGCUGGCGCCCAUGAGGAAAGUGAGUGCUGACGGGGAGAUCUGUCCGGCGGAGGCGGCGACGAAUGCAUUCGCUGCAAGGAUCUGAGCAGCCGAUUAAGCAGGACGACCCGAAAGCUCCUGGGGUGGACGCGAAGAGUGAGGAUUGGUGCUGCCGCAUCAGGCAGGAUGUUGUGUCCUAAUCGAGCUAAUGCACUCGAGAAGGCGAUUUGCGGUUUUGCCGAAAAUCCUGAAGACAAUUUGAUUGUUUCAAAAUUGGGUACAAGCUUUGAUCUGCUCGCCGCAAUCCUGGCAGGGAAUCACUGGCAACGGCAGAUGAGGAAGAGGUAGACAUCGGGUAGUGGAAGAGCACCGUCGAUCUGGUUUCUCUUAAUGGACUGCAGAUGAGUGGCCGAUCUGGCCGGAGUUGGAUUUAGCCGGUGAGAAAGGAGGCUAGACGUGCACUAGAAGAUUAGUAACUGCAACGGUGACAAUAAAUAAAUAAAAUUGAGUGGUAUGACAAUUUCUUUUGAGGAAUAUGACAAUAAAUAAAUGGGUUGGCAGUGUUGUAGUCCAAAAUCUCUCCGUUCACGGCCCAUUUUCAUGACUGACUUCCGAACCGGUCCUACAGUGUCUUACGGGACCUCCUAUGUGACGCAUUUUGCGUCAUACAGCA